UACUACUCUAUCCUCUCCACAUCUCCCUCUCUCCCUCUCUCUAUUCUUCUCUCUCUCAAAUCGACGGAAACUGCAGAAACUUCCAGCCUUUGUCGCUUGUUCUGGCUCGCCGCUGCCGUCGGAGUUGCUGCUCGAGUCGCCGGGAAGAGGCGACGCCGCUGCCCGUCGCUGUACCCAACGCGUCGCCUGGAGCCACCGCCGCUGCUGCUCGCGGCGUUAUUCACCGGAGUCACUGGCCGUCGCCGUCGCUCGCUGCGCUGCUGCUGCCACGGUGAAAAAGCCGCUGCUGUCGCACCGCCUUACAGGCGCCGUCGUCGCUGCUGCCGCCGGAUAGCACGGCUGCUGUCGCCGGCAUCCUGAACCACUCCGCUCAGCCCCGCACUCCACCCGAACAACCCCUAUUAACACCGAAAAGACCCGCAAGAAUUAAAUGUGGGAGGUGGAAGGUGAAGAAGUGGAACUGGAGGGUCUCCACUUGAAGGGGCGUCGACCAUGUGGGAGAGGAAGAAAAGAAGAAGAGCUUCUUGGGCUUGCUCCCAUUUGUUUGGAAAGAUUUGGGCUCCUAAUUAAUUGUAAGUCCAAGUUUGUAUAAUUAUUAAUUGGUUGGACUUGUUGAUUAUUAUGGCCCAAAGCCAUUUUAAA
Long non-coding RNA from Salvia splendens (bonfire salvia), 642 nucleotides. RefSeq lists it as uncharacterized. The record is from RefSeq and is a predicted model, not a curated record. The transcript is spliced from 2 exons. NCBI's taxonomy places the organism in Eukaryota, Viridiplantae, Streptophyta, Magnoliopsida, Lamiales, Lamiaceae.